Molecule: non-coding RNA, 289 nt
Organism: Paramuricea clavata
Lineage: Eukaryota; Metazoa; Cnidaria; Anthozoa; Malacalcyonacea; Plexauridae
Source: the annotation of a GenBank genome assembly
UAUUUUAACAAUGGAAAUCAAAACCCAUUUUAUAUUGAACUUACCCGGACCGAAAAUUACUACGGCGAACGUCUGCGCAACCAGGCCUCCUUUACCGUUGGAUUUACAGGGGGGAGGAUGCCACUAAUAUAUUCACGAUAAUAUUUCGAAUUAAAGUAUCAUAUUCUACCAUACUUUCCAACAAGAGCCGCUGUAUAUUACUUCUUCCUUAAAUUUCUUCAAUCUCCGUCGUUUAAUUUUCUUUUCUUCGAGAACAUCUCGAGUUUUAUACAGUAUCCGAUCGAAGGAG